RNAcentral lists this long non-coding RNA (1050 nucleotides) under Heterocephalus glaber (naked mole-rat). Its description in RNAcentral is "lncRNA (ENSHGLG00000040125.1)". The record is from RNAcentral. Lineage: Eukaryota; Metazoa; Chordata; Mammalia; Rodentia; Bathyergidae.
CGAUCACGCAGGCAGCGCUUCCCCCAUUUAUCCCCUCGCGUUCCUCUGUUUCUCCUCGCGCCUUUCGUUUUUCUGCUGCUUUUCACGUGUUAUUUUCGGUUCCCUUGCAGCCUUGUCCCACUCUCCCUCCCACAGUCUCUGGCCUUGUCCGCCGGUCCUCUGCUGCCCUCGUGUGGCUCUAGGUGGAAAGGCAGCUUCCCAGCCCCACCCAAGGUGCGGCUGGGGAUGGAGCUGGAGAUGAGCGCGAGGGGAUCCAGGUGUGGAUGGUCGGCACGGGUUUGGCUCCGCGCCUUUGACCUGAAUCUCACAAAGUCACCAAGUUGCCCAGGCCGGGCUAGAACUUGUGAGCCUCCUGCCUGAGGCCUUUCCAGAGUGCUUUCCAACGUGCUGGGGUUACAAGUGGGCACCACUGUGCUCAGGUUUAGAAGUUUCAGUCCAUGAUUGGUUGACCUGGUUGCUUUGGGCCUGGUGAGAGGCAGCAGCAUCACGGCAGGUAAGUGUGGUACAGCAAAGCUGCUCACUUCAUGGUCAGGACAAAAGAAGAAAAGAGGAAGGGACUGGACUUCCACAAUCCCCUCUGAGACCAUGCCCCCAAAGACCUAAAGACCUCCCAUUACACCCGACCUUUCAAGGUUUCCAACACCUCCAAGAGUGCCAAGCUGGGGACCACAUCUUUACCACAUAGACCUCUGGGUCCCAUUCCAGAUCCCAACAGUAUCAGGCAGCAUAAAUAAAAAUUUCAGUAGAGCCAGGGAUUUAGCUCAGUGGCACUGUGCCUGCCUCACAAAUGCAAGAUCCUUGAGUUCAAUACCCGAUAUAUAUAUUUCAAUAGGGCUGGGGAUUUAGCUCAGUGGUUCUGGCACCUGCCUCGCAAGUGCAAGGUCCCGAGUUUGAUCCCUGGUACCAAAAAAACUCCAACAACACACAUAUAUAUAUUUCAAUAGAAAGGUUGUAAAAUAAAGCUGAGGGAAUGUCCAAAAUGGUGAAGCAAUUGGACAGAUGGAAAAUAUACAAGCAAAAAUAAAACAAGUUAGAGUUCCAAAUUCCAGA